CCAUCCAUCCAUCUCACCCUGCAGCCCAAGAUCGGUUACUUCCUGAAGCUAAGCAUGGCUGAGCCUGGUCAGUAUUUAGAAGGGAGACCACAUGGACAAAACUAGGUUACUGUUUGAA
This 118-nucleotide ribosomal RNA is filed under the name Danio rerio (zebrafish). The record is from RNAcentral. Lineage: Eukaryota; Metazoa; Chordata; Actinopteri; Cypriniformes; Danionidae.